RNAcentral lists this transfer RNA (68 nucleotides) under Synodus foetens (inshore lizardfish). Its description in RNAcentral is "tRNA-Tyr". It matches the Rfam family "tRNA". From Rfam's summary of the family: Transfer RNA (tRNA) molecules are approximately 80 nucleotides in length. Their secondary structure includes four short double-helical elements and three loops (D, anti-codon, and T loops). Lineage: Eukaryota; Metazoa; Chordata; Actinopteri; Aulopiformes; Synodontidae. The record is from RNAcentral.
GGUAGGGUGGCCGAAAUAGGUGGUGGAUUGUAGCUCCAUGUAUAGAGGUUUAAGUCCUCUCCCUUCCA